This 62-nucleotide microRNA precursor is filed under the name Ornithorhynchus anatinus (platypus). RNAcentral's name for it is "Oan-Mir-1419-P3_pre stem-loop". Lineage: Eukaryota; Metazoa; Chordata; Mammalia; Monotremata; Ornithorhynchidae. The record is from RNAcentral.
CCAGUGCUGGAGAUGUCAUCACGUGCUACCGCGUUCCAUGAUGUCAUCCUCCAGCACCACGC